RNAcentral lists this unclassified non-coding RNA (236 nucleotides) under Hevea brasiliensis (rubber tree). Lineage: Eukaryota; Viridiplantae; Streptophyta; Magnoliopsida; Malpighiales; Euphorbiaceae. The record is from RNAcentral.
GGACAAGUGCAAACGGGAACCAAUUUCUGACCCAGGCUGAGUCUUUUGCAAUACAUCACCGACCAAAGCAUCAAUAUAUUUCAAUUCAUCCAAAGUUGUUUUGUCUUUGUCACCAUGGACUUCGUCACCAACUCCUAUAUGCACAAACAAUAAAUCAAACUCACUUGUAUCCUGUAUCUUCCCAUCUUGAAAGCCAAGCUUCUUCAGCAACUCAGAGGUCAGAAAGUCAACCAGUG